Molecule: ribosomal RNA, 403 nt
Filed under: uncultured bacterium
Lineage: Bacteria
Description: partial 16S ribosomal RNA
Rfam family: Bacterial small subunit ribosomal RNA
Source: RNAcentral
GACGAACGCUGGCGGCGUGCCUAAUACAUGCAAGUCGAACGCAGUGGGGACGGGUGAGUAACACGUGGGUCACCUCCCAUCAGAGGGGAUAACACUUGGAAACAGGUGCUAAACCGAUCCUGAUGGAUGGACCCGCGGUGCAUGAGCUAGUUGGUGAGGUAACGGCUCACCAAGGCCACGAUGCAUAGCCGACCUGAGAGGGGGAUCGGCCAGACUGGGACUGAGACACGGCCCAGACUCUUAGGGGAGGCAGCAGUAGGGAAUCUUCGGCAAUGGACGAAAGUCUGACCGAGCAACGCCGCGGGAAGGAAGACGGUCUUCGGAUUGUAAACUUCUUUGGACAGGGACGCGGUACCUGUAUAAUAAGCCACGGCUAACUACGUGCCAGCAGCCGCGGUAAUAC